CCCUUAGAUGUUCUGGGCCGCACGCGCGCUACACUGAUACAUGCAGCGAGUUUAUAACCUUGAUCUGACGGUCUGGGUAAUCUUCAAACUGUAUCGUGUUAGGGAUCGAUUCUUGCAAUUUUUAAUCGUAAACGAGGAAUUCCUAGUAAACGCAAGUCAUCAGCUUGCAUUGAUUACGUCCCUGCCCUUUGUACACACCGCCCGUCGACUCUACCGAUUGAAUGGUUCGGUGAAAACUUUGGACUGUGGCAUUGUCCUUCAUUGGACUUCGCCGUAGGAAAUUGUUUAAACCUCAUCAUUUAGAGGAAGAAUAAGUCGUAACA
This 323-nucleotide ribosomal RNA is filed under the name uncultured eukaryote. RNAcentral describes it as "partial 18S ribosomal RNA". It matches the Rfam family "Eukaryotic small subunit ribosomal RNA", at positions 1470 to 1796 of the family's 1831-position model. The record is from RNAcentral.